UAGAGCUAUUAGAGCGUUGGAUUCUUCAAUCCCCAGCAGGUUUUCACCACUGUACUUCCCCAAGCGUUUGUUUCAGGACAUACACUCCCCAGUAGAGUUGACAGUGCCAGACUAUAUAUCCCCAGCGGAGUUGACAGUGCCAGACUGUAUCUUUCCAGCAGAAGUGGCUGCUCCUUAGAGUUCGACGCCAGAUCGAUAGUCC
This 202-nucleotide long non-coding RNA is filed under the name Lathyrus oleraceus (garden pea). Its description in RNAcentral is "Pisum sativum (pea) long non-coding RNA (PSAT_LNC005251)". The record is from RNAcentral. Lineage: Eukaryota; Viridiplantae; Streptophyta; Magnoliopsida; Fabales; Fabaceae.